AUACGGAGGGUGCGAGCGUUAUCCGGAUUUAUUAGGUUUAAAGGGUGUGUAGGCGGGAGCCUAAGUCAGUGGUGAAAUCUCACAGCUUAAUUGUGAAACUGCCAUUGAAACUGGGUUUCUUGAGUAUAGUUGAGGUAGGCGGAAUGUGUAAUGUAGCGGUGAAAUGCAUAGAUAUUACACAGAACACCGAUUGCGAAGGCAGCUUACUAAACUAUUACUGACGCUGAUGCACGAAAGCGUGGGGAGCGAACAGGAUUAGAUACCCGUGUAGUCC
Molecule: ribosomal RNA, 274 nt
Filed under: uncultured bacterium
Lineage: Bacteria
Description: partial 16S ribosomal RNA
Rfam family: Bacterial small subunit ribosomal RNA
Source: RNAcentral